This 483-nucleotide ribosomal RNA is filed under the name uncultured bacterium. Its description in RNAcentral is "partial 16S ribosomal RNA". It matches the Rfam family "Bacterial small subunit ribosomal RNA", at positions 28 to 507 of the family's 1533-position model. The record is from RNAcentral.
GACGAACGCUGGCGGCGUGCUUAACACAUGCAAGUCGAACGCUGAAGCUCAGCUUUUGUUGGGUGGAUGAGUGGCGAACGGGUGAGUAACACGUGAGUAACCUGCCUCCUCCUUUGGGAUAACGCCCGGAAACGGGUUCUAAUACUGGAUAUUCACUGGUCUUCGCAUGGGGGUUGGUGGAAAGGGUUUUUCUUGUGGGGGAUGGGCUCGCGGCCUAUCAGCUGGUUGGUGGGGUGAUGGCCUACCAAGGCUUUGACGGGUGGCCGGCCUGGGAGGGUGACUGGUAGGAUGGGGAGUGAGAUACGGACCAGGCUCCUGCGGGAGGCAGCAGUGGAGACAAUUGCGCGAAGGACGCAAGCAUGAUGCAGCGACGGAGCGAGAGAGGUCGAGUCCGUGAGGUUGUGAACCUCUUUGGAUCACGCUCAAGCCGCAAAAAUGGUUAUAGUGAGGGUAGUGGGUAAAGAAGCGCCGGCUAACUACGUG